Long non-coding RNA from Hyposmocoma kahamanoa, 330 nucleotides. RefSeq lists it as uncharacterized. The record is from RefSeq and is a predicted model, not a curated record. The transcript has 3 exons. NCBI's taxonomy places the organism in Eukaryota, Metazoa, Arthropoda, Insecta, Lepidoptera, Cosmopterigidae.
CGACCCUCAGUCGUCCGGUGGAGCGGGUGUUAUAACGGCUUUCAUGCCUUUCAAAGUUGUUGUUCGGAGUACAACUGUUCAAUUAAAGGUUUUAGUGGAUUAUAUGGCGACAAACUCACAGGACCACUUCGGCCCAACAAUUGGAAAAAGCAUAGAUUGCCCUCACUUCUAAAUUAGAAAACCAUGAUCCUAAGAACUAAAAUAAUCGAAACAUAUCAGUUGUAAUAAUUUGUCAUGAAUUUGAGUUAAGUCAUAAGUAUAUUUGGAUCGCGACCAGCCCAGCAAAGUGAUGUGAUAUGUGUUUUAUCAACAAAUAGGUUCACCCAUACC